GCAGUGUAUGUCAGACUUCCAAGAAAAGCUCGUACACCAUUUUUUCCGCUUGCGGUUAAAAAGAAACAUAAAAAUGACCUGUACCUGAAACCGACACAGGUGGGUAGGUAGAGUAUACUAAGGGGCGCGAGAUAACUCUCUCUAAGGAACUCGGCAAAAUGACUCCGUAACUUCGGGAGAAGGAGUGCCUUAUUUAUAAGGUUGCAAUAACAAGAUCCAAGCAACUGUUUAUCAAAAACACAGGUCUCCGCUAAGUCGUAAGACGAUGUAUGGGGGCUGACGCCUGCCCAGUGCCAGAAGGUUAAAGAAGUUGGUUAGUGUAUGCGAAGCUGAUGACUGAAGCCCUGGUGAACGGCGGCCGUAACAAUAACGGUCCUAAGGUAGCGAAAUUCCUUGUCGGAUAAGUUCCGACCCGCACGAAAGGCGUAAUGAUUUGGAUACUGUCUCGGAGAGAGGCUCGGUGAAAUAGACUUGUCUGUGAAGAUGCGGCCUACCUGCACCAGGACAGAAAGACCCUAUGAAGCUUUACUGUAACUUGAAAUUGGAAUUGGACUUUGCUUGCGCAGUAUAGGUGGGAAGCGUUGAAAAUAUUCUUGCGGGAGUAUUGGAGCUAUCAGUGAGAUACCACUCUUGUAAUGUUAGAUUUCUAACUUUGAACCAUAAUCUGGUCAAAGAACAGUUUCAGGUGGGCAGUUUGACUGGGGCGGUCGCCUCCCAAAUGGUAACGGAGGCGUACAAAGGUUUCCUCUGAACGGAUAGAAAUCGUAUCUAGAGUGUAAAGGCAUAAGGAAGCUUGACUGUGAGACCUACAAGUCGAGCAGGGACGAAAGUCGGUCUUAGUGAUCUGACGGUACUGAGUGGAAAGGCCGUCACUCAACGGAUAAAAGUUACUAGGAUAACAGGCUGAUCUCCCCCAAGAGUUCACAUCGACGGGGAGGUUUGGCACCUCGAUGUCGGCUCAUCGCAUCCUGGGGCGGUAGUACGUCCCAAGGGUUGGGCUGUUCGCCCAUGAAAGCGGUACGCGAGCUGGGUUCAGAACGUCGUGAGACAGUUCGGUCCAUAUCCGGUGUAGGCGCUAGAAUAUUGAGAGGAGCCUUCUUUAGUACGAGAGGACCGAGAAGGACACACCGCUGGUGUACCAGUUAUCGUGCCAACGGUAAACGCUGGGUAGCUAUGUGUGGAGUGGAUAACCGCUGAAAGCAUCUAAGUGGGAAGCCCACCUCGAGAUGAGUAUUU
RNAcentral lists this ribosomal RNA (1236 nucleotides) under metagenome. Its description in RNAcentral is "bacterial LSU rRNA". It matches the Rfam family "Bacterial large subunit ribosomal RNA", at positions 1560 to 2813 of the family's 2925-position model. The record is from RNAcentral.